This 72-nucleotide transfer RNA is filed under the name Staphylococcus xylosus. RNAcentral describes it as "tRNA-Thr". It matches the Rfam family "tRNA". Rfam says of the family: Transfer RNA (tRNA) molecules are approximately 80 nucleotides in length. The record is from RNAcentral. Lineage: Bacteria; Bacillati; Bacillota; Bacilli; Caryophanales; Staphylococcaceae.
GCCGGCCUGCUCAACUGGUAGAGCAACUGACUUGUAAUCAGUAGGUUGGUUCAAGUCCUCUGGCCGGCACCA